CCUACGGGUGGCAGCAGUGAGGAAUAUUGGUCAAUGGACGAGAGUCUGAACCAGCCAAGUAGCGUGAAGGAUGACUGCCCUAUGGGUUGUAAACUUCUUUUAUAAAGGAAUAAAACGAGGCACGUGUGCCUUUUUGAAUGUACUUUAUGAAUAAGGAUCGGCUAACUCCGUGCCAGCAGCCGCGGUAAUACGGAGGAUCCGAGCGUUAUCAGGAUGUAUUGGGUUUAAAGGGAGCGUAGAUGGGUAGUAAGUUCAGUUGUGAAAGUUGGCGGCUCAACCGUAAAAUUGCAAUUGAUACUGGCAGUCUUGAGUACAGUUGGGGUAGGCGGAAUUCGUGGUGUAGCGGUGAAAUGCUUAGAUAUCACGAAGAACCCCGAUUGCGAAGGCAGCUUACGAAACUGUGACUGACAUUGAUGCUCGAAAGUGUAGGUAUCAAACAGGAUUAGAUACCCUGGUAGUC
This 460-nucleotide ribosomal RNA is filed under the name uncultured bacterium. Its description in RNAcentral is "partial 16S ribosomal RNA". It matches the Rfam family "Bacterial small subunit ribosomal RNA", at positions 338 to 795 of the family's 1533-position model. The record is from RNAcentral.